This 253-nucleotide ribosomal RNA is filed under the name uncultured bacterium. Its description in RNAcentral is "partial 16S ribosomal RNA". It matches the Rfam family "Bacterial small subunit ribosomal RNA", at positions 524 to 776 of the family's 1533-position model. The record is from RNAcentral.
UACGUAGGGGGCAAGCGUUGUCCGGAAUCAUUGGGCGUAAAGAGCGUGUAGGCGGCUCGGUAAGUCCGCUGUGAAAGUCCAGGGCUCAACCCUGGAAUGCCGGUGGAAACUGUCGAGCUAGAGUCCGGAAGAGGCGAGUGGAAUUCCUGGUGUAGCGGUGGAAUGCGCAGAUAUCAGGAGGAACUCCUAUAGCGAAGGCAGCUUGCUGGGACGAAACUGACGCUAAGGCUCGAAAGCGUGGGGAGCGAACAGG